RNAcentral lists this ribosomal RNA (177 nucleotides) under uncultured bacterium. RNAcentral's name for it is "partial 16S ribosomal RNA". It matches the Rfam family "Bacterial small subunit ribosomal RNA", at positions 335 to 524 of the family's 1533-position model. The record is from RNAcentral.
ACUCCUACGGGAGGCAGCAGUGGGGAAUAUUGCACCAUGGGCGCAAGCCUGAUGCAGCAACGCCGCGUGAGGGACGACGGCCUUCGGGUUGUAAACCUCUUUUAGCAGGGAAGAAGCGAAAGUGACGGUACCUGCAGAAAAAGCACCGGCUAACUACGUGCCAGCAGCCGCGGUAAU